RNAcentral lists this long non-coding RNA (680 nucleotides) under Micromonas commoda. Its description in RNAcentral is "long non-coding RNA (MCOM_LNC000492)". The record is from RNAcentral. Lineage: Eukaryota; Viridiplantae; Chlorophyta; Mamiellophyceae; Mamiellales; Mamiellaceae.
GCAAAAUUAGUCCGUGGCCUGAUACGCGCACGGCAAUUGACCAGUGCAUUUAUUAUUAGCACUUUCAUAAAAACCAAUAAUAAUUUCGAGCGCCAGCAGGAGCGCUCGAUCCGCGCGGGCGACGUGCACUCGUUCGCCAGUGCGGCGACGCUGCCGUGCCCAACACCGCGCCGAUUCGCAUGACCUGCAUCGCGCCGGUCAAGCGCGCUGCAAUUGAGUGGGGGCGACACUCCAGUCGAGCGAAUGCGCCUCUCCUCCUUGCUUGUGGACGCCCUCGCCUCCUCUGCGGGUGCUGCUCCCGCGACCGCGUUUAACCCUGAGAUUUAACUCAGGGAUUUCCUAAUAAAAUGAAGAGAUGGUACCACGGGGGGGGGGGAGAUCUGGGCAUCUGGGGGGGGGGGGCUCUGGGCCAUCUGGGCCAUCUGGGCCAUCUGGGCCUCUAGGCCAUCUGGGCCAUCUGGGCAAUCGAGUCACGUGCGGAGUGUGAUGUUCAACGCUUCAAUCGACACCAAGCAAACUAGUUAGGGUUAGUUCGUUCUUCCGCAAUUCAAACGGAUCUCCGCUGAAAGCGGUCGCGAUGGGCGUGCGGAGUGUGAUGGUCAACGGUUCAAUCGACGAUUUUCCUACGUACAAUUACCUUCGUAUUUUUUUUUAUUAACCAAAUAAAGGUAUUUGCUUCA